AUUGAACGCUGGCGGCAUGCCUUACACAUGCAAGUCGAACGGUAACAGGUCUUCGGAUGCUGACGAGUGGCGAACGGGUGAGUAAUACAUCGGAACGUGCCCGAUCGUGGGGGAUAACGCAGCGAAAGCUGUGCUAAUACCGCAUACGAUCUACGGAUGAAAGCGGGGGAUCGCAAGACCUCGCGCGGACGGAGCGGCCGAUGGCAGAUUAGGUAGUUGGUGGGAUAAAAGCUUACCAAGCCGACGAUCUGUAGCUGGUCUGAGAGGACGACCAGCCACACUGGGACUGAGACACGGCCCAGACUCCUACGGGAGGCAGCAGUGGGGAAUUUUGGACAAUGGGCGCAAGCCUGAUCCAGCCAUGCCGCGUGCAGGAUGAAGGCCUUCGGGUUGUAAACUGCUUUUGUACGGAAACGAAAAAGCUCUCUCUAAUACAGGGGGUGAAUGACGGUACCGUAAGAAUAAGCACCGGCUAACUACGUG
RNAcentral lists this ribosomal RNA (483 nucleotides) under uncultured bacterium. RNAcentral describes it as "bacterial SSU rRNA". It matches the Rfam family "Bacterial small subunit ribosomal RNA", at positions 30 to 507 of the family's 1533-position model. The record is from RNAcentral.